This 158-nucleotide unclassified non-coding RNA is filed under the name uncultured Monosporascus. RNAcentral's name for it is "sequence contains ITS2". Lineage: Eukaryota; Fungi; Ascomycota; Sordariomycetes; Sordariales. The record is from RNAcentral.
CAACCCUUAAGCCCUAGUUGCUUAGCGUUGGGAGCCUUACGCCGUAGGCGUAAACUCCUCAAAGUUAUUGGCAGAGUUACGACAUACUCUAAGCGUAGUAAUAUUUUCUCGCUUCUGAAAGUGUCGUGGCAAUCGCCAUAAGCCUCUAUAUUUCUAGU